Molecule: ribosomal RNA, 251 nt
Filed under: uncultured prokaryote
Description: partial 16S rRNA
Rfam family: Bacterial small subunit ribosomal RNA
Source: RNAcentral
ACGGGGGGAGCAAGCGUUGUUCGGAUUUACUGGGCGUAAAGGGCGUCUAGGCGGACUUGCAAGUCGAGCGUGAAAUCCCACGGCUCAACCGUGGAACUGCGCUCGAUACUGUUGGUCUUGAGUACGGAAGAGGAAAGCGGAAUUCCUGGUGUAGCGGUGAAAUGCGUAGAUAUCAGGAAGAACACCGGUGGCGAAGGCGGCUUUCUGGUCCGAUACUGACGCUGAAGCGCGAAAGUGUGGGGAGCAAACAG